AUUGAACGCUGGCGGCAGGCCUAACACAUGCAAGUCGAGCGGUAGCAUUUCCAGCUUGCUGGAAGAUGACGAGCGGCGGACGGGUGCGUAACACGUAGGAAUCUACCCGGUAGUGGGGGAUAGCCCGGAGAAAUCCGGAUUAAUACCGCAUACGCCUUAAGAGGGAAAGCAGGGGACUCUUCGGAGCCUUGCGCUAUCGGAUGAGCCUGCGUCGGAUUAGCUUGUUGGUGGGUAAAGCCUACCAAGGCAACGAUCCGUAGCUGGUCUGAGAGGAUGAUCAGCCACACUGGGACUGAGACACGGCCCAGACUCCUACGGGAGCAGCAGUGGGAAUAUUGCACAAUGGGCAAAGCCUGACUGCAGCCAUGCCGCGUGUGUGAAGAA
RNAcentral lists this ribosomal RNA (384 nucleotides) under uncultured bacterium. RNAcentral describes it as "bacterial SSU rRNA". It matches the Rfam family "Bacterial small subunit ribosomal RNA", at positions 30 to 412 of the family's 1533-position model. The record is from RNAcentral.